UACAGAGGGGGCAAGCGUUGUUCGGAAUUACUGGGCGUAAAGGGCGCGUAGGUGGCCUUCUAAGUUGAACGUGAAAUCCCUGGGCUCAACCCCAGGAACUGCGUCCAAGACUGGGAGGCUUGAAUCCGGGAGAGGGAUGCGGAAUUCCAGGUGUAGCGGUGAAAUGCGUAGAUAUCUGGAGGAACACCGGUGGCGAAGGCGGCAUCCUGGACCGGUAUUGACACUGAGGCGCGAAAGCCAGGGGAGCAAACGGG
This 254-nucleotide ribosomal RNA is filed under the name uncultured bacterium. RNAcentral's name for it is "partial 16S ribosomal RNA". It matches the Rfam family "Bacterial small subunit ribosomal RNA", at positions 524 to 776 of the family's 1533-position model. The record is from RNAcentral.